UGUGGGAGCGAGCCUGCUCGCGAUGACGUCGGUACAUUCAGCAUUGAUGCAAACUGAGCCACCGUUAUCGCGAGCAAGCUCGCUCCCACA
This 90-nucleotide unclassified non-coding RNA is filed under the name Pseudomonas sp. A214. The record is from RNAcentral. Lineage: Bacteria; Pseudomonadati; Pseudomonadota; Gammaproteobacteria; Pseudomonadales; Pseudomonadaceae.